RNAcentral lists this ribosomal RNA (500 nucleotides) under uncultured bacterium. RNAcentral's name for it is "partial 16S ribosomal RNA". It matches the Rfam family "Bacterial small subunit ribosomal RNA", at positions 28 to 507 of the family's 1533-position model. The record is from RNAcentral.
GACGAACGCUGGCGGCGUGCUUAACACAUGCAAGUCGAACGGGUCUGCCCUGUUUUUUGCGGGGUGGGUCAGUGGCGAACGGGUGAGUAACACGUGAGUAACCUGCCCCUCACUUCUGGAUAACCGCUUGAAAGGGUGGCUAAUACGGGGUGUUCUGGCUGUGCCGCAUGGUGUGGCUGGGAAAGAUUCACUUUUGUGGUGUUUUGGUGGGGGAUGGGCUCGCGGCCUAUCUGCUUGUUGGUGGGGUGGUGGCCUGCCAAGGCUUUGACGGGUAGCCGGCCUGAGAGGGUGGGCGGCCACACUAGGACUGAGAUACGGCCCAGACUCCUGCGGGAGGCAGCAGUGGGGUGUAUUGCACGAUGGGCGGAAGCCUGAUGCAGCGACGUCGCGUGAGGGAUGGAGGCCUUCGGGUUGUGAACCUCUUUCGCCGGUGAAGAAGGUCCUGCUCUUUGUGGUGGGGUUGACGGUAGCCGGGUUAUGAAGCGCCGGCUAACUACGUG